GUGAGGAAUAUUGGUCAAUGGGCGGAAGCCUGAACCAGCCAUGCCGCGUGAAGGACGAAGGCGUUCUGCGUUGUAAACUUCUUUUAUAAGGGAAGAAACCUGCGAUAUCUGUUGCAGCCGACGGUACCUUAUGAAUAAGCACCGGCUAACUCCGUGCCAGCAGCCGCGGUAAUACGGAGGGUGCAAGCGUUAUCCGGAUUCACUGGGGUUAAAGGGUGUGUAGGCGGGCUUGUAAGUCAGGGGUGAAAUCCUACAGCUUAACUGUAGAACUGCCUUUGAUACUAUAGGUCUUGAAUAUUGUUGAGGUGGGCGGAAUACAUCAUGUAGCGGGGAAAUGCUUAGAUAUGAUGUAGAACACCGAUUGCGAAAGCAGCUCACUAAGCAAAUAUUGCCGCUGAGGCACGAAAGCGUGGGGAUCAAACAGGAUUAGAAACCCCGGUAGUCC
RNAcentral lists this ribosomal RNA (445 nucleotides) under uncultured bacterium. RNAcentral describes it as "partial 16S ribosomal RNA". It matches the Rfam family "Bacterial small subunit ribosomal RNA", at positions 354 to 796 of the family's 1533-position model. The record is from RNAcentral.